CUGCUCUCUCCGCGUUUCUCGCGCUGGCCGCUUUGGGGGCUCGCUUCCGGGACUUGCCCCACCCCUAGGGUUUCACGCUGCACCAUCCCCACGCAGCCGGUGUAUCCUGCCCAAGGGCACUCGCUUCAAAGGUCGAAGCCGUGGGUACGCAGGAGCGAGAGGGAGGGAGGGGAGGGAUAACCGGUGACGUGCCUUCUACGACACCCCUUUCCCGCCUACCAUGUUUUCCCUCGCACACGCGCGAAAGCGCGCGCCGCGUGUGAUGGCCGAUGAAAAUACGAGAGAUCUGCACCCUAUUUCUUUCCCAUCUGUCUUCAUCCAAGCAGUCUACGCGAAAGGUAGAGCGGCGCGAGUUUUGAGGGAAGCGCAUCUGUUCAGUGGGUAUGAGGCGCUCGCAUUAGAGAAUUGUCACAGCAGCACACACACACACACACACACACACGUGAAGCGGCAGCUGGAGCCCAUCUCACAAAAAGGCAACGCAGAAACGACGUCGUAGGGGCUUUGCUCAUCACUAUUGGCUAAAUAUUUUGUCCACCCAAAUGAGCUACACCGAUGCGGCGAAUCUUGCAUCGCCUACCCUUACUUUCUUCUCUAUACCGCCGCCGACCGACUUUGCAUCUUCCGCUCCUCUCGUCCACCUCUCUCUUUCAUGCACUUGCCGUCCCUGAACCUGUCCACUUCGCACCCCAACUUCACGCGAAGCGCCCUGAUAAUGAGAGGACAAUUAGCGCACGCAAGACGAGACUAAACCGGUUUCUUCCGUAUACGCACAUGCCUUUGAUUCUGCCUAAGGCAAGCUGGCUGUAUGUGGACCUGCGUGAGACGCUUAUCGCCCUCACGCACCUACACGGACGACCAGAUGAGUGGGCGCGAUGGAGGGGCUGCGCGCGCGGUGUGCCGCGCAGGGGUUUGCGAUGGAUUUGCCUUGUUAUCGGCGCUUGCUUUGUGCGGCACCCUAGGCGUGCUGCACAGGAGCGUCAGUGGCCGCAGAGGACUGCACAAGCUCCUCAUCGCCUGGAUCUCAGGCGGACCUGCACUGAGCUGCACGCAAAUGUGCGAAGUCUAGGAAGCAAGUCAUGGUGCAAAGAAAAGCGCUGAUGACGCACCAUCAGCGCGACGCAGGUGAAAAGCGAAUGCGAGGGAGAAGAGGGGGGCGCGUCUCAGGGCACGGUGGAUGCCUACCCCCUCCCCCUUCCCUUCCCGUCUCGCACGGAUUGCCCACAAUCCGGUGCCACGUUGCCCUGACUCUCGCCUGCCGUGCCGGCCAAUGACGAGGCUGUAGCGGAGCGGAACAGAGGUGGGGGGUGGUAGGGUAGCGGCCGCCAACGCCCUUCCUGUUCGACCGCUCCCGCAGACGAAAGUGGCUGCCUGUUGUGCCCCUUCU
Molecule: unclassified non-coding RNA, 1387 nt
Filed under: Leishmania donovani
Lineage: Eukaryota; Euglenozoa; Kinetoplastea; Trypanosomatida; Trypanosomatidae
Description: gene:unknown
Source: RNAcentral